CAAAUGUUGCCCAGAUUGGUCGCAAACUCCUAGGCUCAAGCAAUCCUCAUGUCUCAGCCCCCCAAAGCAUUGAGAUUACAGGCGUGAGCGACAGCGCCUAGCAAGAGAGUCUGGAACAGAGUGAUGCAACACACUUAAACAGGGUCACAUUCUAGCUGACGUGUUGAGAAUAGACUGAAGGUGAGCAGAGAACAAGCAAGGAGACUAGUACACAAGGACGUUUCAACAAUUCUACUUCAUCUGAUGCCUAUACUUUAGACAACGCAUGAGGCAAACUGUUAGAGCCACUGCCAGUUGCUCAAGCUGAUACACUGACUCCAGAAUCUCUGCUCCAUGAAGUAAACAGCCAUACUGAGGAAGACCAUGUGACAAAAAACUAUGGGCAGCCUCUACGAACUGUGGGUGGCCUCCAGCCAAUAGCCAUCAAGAACCCAGAGGCAUCAAGAAUCUACAACCAACGGAAAUGAAUUCUGAAUAGACAACCUGAAUGAGCUUGGCA
Symphalangus syndactylus (siamang) is the source of this 499-nucleotide long non-coding RNA. RefSeq lists it as uncharacterized. NCBI's taxonomy places the organism in Eukaryota, Metazoa, Chordata, Mammalia, Primates, Hylobatidae. The record is from RefSeq and is a predicted model, not a curated record.